GGUGGCUCAGUGGUAGAGCUCUUGCCUUGCAUGCAUGAGGCCCUGGGUUGGACUCCUCAGCACCA
This 65-nucleotide transfer RNA is filed under the name Dipodomys ordii (Ord's kangaroo rat). It matches the Rfam family "tRNA". From Rfam's summary of the family: Transfer RNA (tRNA) molecules are approximately 80 nucleotides in length. The record is from Rfam by way of RNAcentral. Lineage: Eukaryota; Metazoa; Chordata; Mammalia; Rodentia; Heteromyidae.